CCAAUAGCGUAUAUUAAAGUUGUUGCAGUUAAAAAGCUCGUAGUUGAAUUUCGGGACCAAUCUGCCGGUCGUGCCUCCGGUACGCACUGGUUUUAUUGGUUUCUCCCUUCUGACGAACCAUGAUGUCAUUAAUUUGGUGUCAUGGGGAAUCAGGACUGUUACUUUGAAAAAAUUAGAGUGUUUAUAGCAGGCUCACGCUUGAAUACAUUAGCAUGGAAUAAUGAAAUAGGACGUUUGACCCUAUUUUGUUGGUUUCUAGGAUCGACGUAAUGAUUAAUAGGGAUAGUUGGGGGCAUUAGUAUUCAAUUGGCAGAGGUGAAAUUCUUGGAUUUAUUGAAGACUAACUACUGCGAAAGCAUUUGCCAAGGAUGUUUUCAUUAAUCAAGAACGAAAGUUAGGGGAUCGAAGACGAUCAGAUACCGUCGUAGUCUUAACCAUAAACUAUGCCGACUAGGGAUCGGAUGAUGUUAAUUUUUUAAUGACUCAUUCGGCGCCUUACG
This 500-nucleotide ribosomal RNA is filed under the name uncultured Glomeromycotina. RNAcentral describes it as "partial small subunit ribosomal RNA". It matches the Rfam family "Eukaryotic small subunit ribosomal RNA", at positions 591 to 1092 of the family's 1831-position model. Lineage: Eukaryota; Fungi; Glomeromycota. The record is from RNAcentral.